GCUGGGCACGGUGGCUCAUGCCUGUAAUCCCAGCACUUUGGGAGGCUGAGGCGAGUGGAUCGCCUGAGGUCAGGAGUUUGAGACCAGCCUGGCCAACAUGGUGAAAUCUCGCCUCUA
This 117-nucleotide non-coding RNA is filed under the name Nomascus leucogenys (northern white-cheeked gibbon). The record is from Rfam by way of RNAcentral. Lineage: Eukaryota; Metazoa; Chordata; Mammalia; Primates; Hylobatidae.